RNAcentral lists this ribosomal RNA (253 nucleotides) under uncultured bacterium. RNAcentral describes it as "partial 16S ribosomal RNA". It matches the Rfam family "Bacterial small subunit ribosomal RNA", at positions 524 to 776 of the family's 1533-position model. The record is from RNAcentral.
UACGGAGGGUGCUAGCGUUAUCCGGAAUCACUGGGCGUAAAGGGCGCGUAGGCGGCCUGUUAAGUCCGAUGUUAAAGGGCGGGGCUCAACCCCGUCACGGCGUUGGAUACUGGCAGGCUUGACGGCUGGAGAGGUGAGUGGAAUUACCAGUGUAGCGGUGGAAUGCGUAGAUACUGGUAGGAACACCCAUUGCGAAGGCAGCUCACUGGACAGCACGUGACGCUGAGGCGCGAAAGCGUGGGGAGCAAACCGG